RNAcentral lists this ribosomal RNA (447 nucleotides) under uncultured bacterium. RNAcentral describes it as "bacterial SSU rRNA". It matches the Rfam family "Bacterial small subunit ribosomal RNA", at positions 355 to 825 of the family's 1533-position model. The record is from RNAcentral.
UGGGGAAUAUUGGACAAUGGGCGCAAGCCUGAUCCAGCCAUGCCGCGUGAACGAUGAAGGCCUUAGGGUUGUAAAGUUCUUUUGUCAGGGAAGAUAAUGACGGUACCUGAAGAAUAAGCACCGGCUAACUUCGUGCCAGCAGCCGCGGUAAUACGAAGGGAGCUAGCGUUGUUCGGAAUUACUGGGCGUAAAGCGCACGUAGGCGGACUUGUCAGUCAGGGGUGAAAUCCCAAGGCUCAACCUUGGAACUGCCUCCGAUACAGCAAGCCUAGAGAUCGGGAGAGGUGAGUGGAAUUCCUAGUGUAGAGGUGAAAUUCGUAGAUAUUAGGAAGAACACCAGUGGCGAAGGCGGCUCACUGGCCCGAUACUGACGCUGAGGUGCGAAAGCGUGGGGAGCAAACAGGAUUAGAUACCCCCGUAGUCCCUGAGCGGGCUGGCAAGGCGCAU